This 515-nucleotide ribosomal RNA is filed under the name uncultured bacterium. RNAcentral's name for it is "bacterial SSU rRNA". It matches the Rfam family "Bacterial small subunit ribosomal RNA", at positions 8 to 504 of the family's 1533-position model. The record is from RNAcentral.
CAGAGUUUGAUCCUGGCUCAGGAUGAACGCUGGCGGCGUGCCUAAUACAUGCAAGUCGAGCGAACGGACGAGAAGCUUGCUUCUCUGAUGUUAGCGGCGGACGGGUGAGUAACACGUGGAUAACCUACCUAUAAGACUGGGAUAACUUCGGGAAACCGGAGCUAAUACCGGAUAAUAUUUUGAACCGCAUGGUUCAAAAGUGAAAGACGGUCUUGCUGUCACUUAUAGAUGGAUCCGCGCUGCAUUAGCUAGUUGGUAAGGUAACGGCUUACCAAGGCAACGAUGCAUAGCCGACCUGAGAGGGUGAUCGGCCACACUGGAACUGAGACACGGUCCAGACUCCUACGGGAGGCAGCAGUAGGGAAUCUUCCGCAAUGGGCGAAAGCCUGACGGAGCAACGCCGCGUGAGUGAUGAAGGUCUUCGGAUCGUAAAACUCUGUUAUUAGGGAAGAACAUAUGUGUAAGUAACUGUGCACAUCUUGACGGUACCUAAUCAGAAAGCCACGGCUAACUAC